RNAcentral lists this transfer RNA (74 nucleotides) under bacterium. RNAcentral describes it as "tRNA-Met". It matches the Rfam family "tRNA". Rfam says of the family: Transfer RNA (tRNA) molecules are approximately 80 nucleotides in length. The record is from RNAcentral.
GCCAGCAUAGCUCAGCUGGUUAGAGCAGCGGAAUCAUAAUCCGCGUGUCGAAGGUUCGAAUCCUUCUGCUGGCA